CCCGUAAAUUUCAUGCCGUUGACAGAAAAAUGACGUCACGCUACAUAGAGUAUGAUUCCAAUUAGUAUUUUCAUAAUAAAUUAUCAUUUGUCAACCUCUUUAGGUAACUAAUACAUAUACUUGACAAUCAGUAUAGAAACGUCUAACUGACUUUCAUUUUAUUGUCACACAAAUAAAUAAUAGAUUAUUAAUUUAUGAAAUAAUACAUAUUUUUGGUUUUUAACAGCGUAACAAGCUUUUAUUCACGUAAUAAGUAUUUAUUAUGAUACCCAUCAAUAACAGGUGAGGUUGCUGACUCGGCCAAACGCAGUCUAAUUGCGGAAACUGCGGCUGCAGCGGUCGCAAUCAGAGUAAUCACGUUGUUCAGAACGCGGCUUAUUGACGUCACGGAGGACGGUCGAUGAACUCCGAAAUUUGAAGUUCGGCAGCGAUCAUCCCCGUAUAUAACGUCCGGCGACAGCAGCCAACGGCAAUCCCAUAGAUUAUUAUGUAUUAUUACCAGAGAUCGGACAAAUUUGCGUCAUUGCUCGCAAUAAUGUGGACAUGACUCCAAAAUUAAUCAAAUAUGUAAUCAUUUAAUUAAUUUCUUACUUAACUUAAAUUUUAAUUCCUAGUCAAUAAAUACAAAAGUUUGUUAAAAAUAAUCAGUAUUUUUUCCAAAUUUUCUGCAGUAAGUCUAUUUCUUUUUACAUCAAAAAUAUACUUAAGUGCUGAAAAACUCCGCUCGCACUCCACUGAUGGUAAUGGGGCAAACUUAAGUAGUUUUAUAGGAAUAUUAUUAUUCCAGUAUAAUUCAGAGUUUAUUUUCUGUUCUAAGUUGUGGGCGAUAACCUCAAAAUCGGGAUAAACUAAACAAAGAACAGAAAAUAAACUCUGAAUUAUACUGGAAUAAUAAAAUUCCUAUAAAACUACUUAAGUUUGCCCCAUUAACAUCAGUGGAGUGCGAGCGGAGUUUUUCAGCACUUAAGUAUAUUUUUGAUGUAAAAAGAAAUAGACUGACUGCAGAAAAUUUGGAAAAAAUACUGAUUAUUUUCAUUAAUAAAUCUAUACUUUAACAAACUUUUGUAUUUAUUGACUAGGAAUUAAAAUUUAAGUCGAGUAUGAAAUUAAUUAAAUGAUUACAUAUUUGAUUAAUUUUGGAGUCAUGUCCACAUUAUUGCGAGCAAUGACGCAAAUUUGUCCGAUCUCUGAUUAUUACUGUAAAAUCCUCAAAAAUACACCAAAGCGACAAGUUGUAUUGUAAUUCAUUAUUUGUAAUAAAUCCCUGUACAAAAGUUAUAA
Molecule: long non-coding RNA, 1281 nt
Organism: Cydia pomonella (codling moth)
Lineage: Eukaryota; Metazoa; Arthropoda; Insecta; Lepidoptera; Tortricidae
Exons: 2
Source: RefSeq, a predicted model, not a curated record